This 136-nucleotide ribosomal RNA is filed under the name Amylostereum chailletii. Its description in RNAcentral is "5.8S ribosomal RNA". It matches the Rfam family "5.8S ribosomal RNA", at positions 1 to 123 of the family's 154-position model. From Rfam's summary of the family: 5.8S ribosomal RNA (5.8S rRNA) is a component of the large subunit of the eukaryotic ribosome. Lineage: Eukaryota; Fungi; Basidiomycota; Agaricomycetes; Russulales; Stereaceae. The record is from RNAcentral.
GCGCAUCUAAUACAACUUUCAACAACGGAUCUCUUGGCUCUCGCAUCGAUGAAGAACGCAGCGAAAUGCGAUAAGUAAUGUGAAUUGCAGAAUUCAGUGAAUCAUCGAAUCUUUGAACGCACCUUGCGCCCCUUGG